Molecule: ribosomal RNA, 444 nt
Filed under: uncultured Lachnospiraceae bacterium
Lineage: Bacteria; Bacillati; Bacillota; Clostridia; Lachnospirales; Lachnospiraceae
Description: bacterial SSU rRNA
Rfam family: Bacterial small subunit ribosomal RNA
Source: RNAcentral
CGCCCGCCGCGCGCGGCGGGCGGGGCGGGGGCACGGGGGGGUGAAGAAGUAUUUCGGUAUGUAAAGCUCUAUCAGCAGGGAAGAUAAUGACGGUACCUGACUAAGAAGCACCGGCUAAAUACGUGCCAGCAGCCGCGGUAAUACGUAUGGUGCAAGCGUUAUCCGGAUUUACUGGGUGUAAAGGGAGCGUAGGCGGUUUUACAAGUCUGAUGUGAAAGCCCGGGGCUCAACUCCGGUAUUGCAUUGGAAACUGUAGAACUAGAGUGUCGGAGGGGUAAGUGGAAUUCCUAGUGUAGCGGUGAAAUGCGUAGAUAUUAGGAGGAACACCAGUGGCGAAGGCGGCUUACUGGACGAUUACUGACGCUGAGGCUCGAAAGCGUGGGGAGCAAACAGGAUUAGAUACCCUGGUAGUCCACGCGGUAAACGAUGAAUACUAGGUGUUGG